Dermacentor andersoni is the source of this 582-nucleotide long non-coding RNA. RefSeq lists it as uncharacterized. The record is from RefSeq and is a predicted model, not a curated record. NCBI's taxonomy places the organism in Eukaryota, Metazoa, Arthropoda, Arachnida, Ixodida, Ixodidae.
UACUCCCCUACACCCCAGGCUGUGCAGAGAUGAAGCGGUCCAAUUCCAAAUACUUCUGACGAACUCCUUCCCACAAUUUUAUGCUCCUAAACUGAAUGCCCACAACGAGCUGCAGCAAGAAGGCAAGCACGGCAAAGUGUCCAACACCCUCUAUCACGUAGUAUGGGAAAGUGACGGCACCGACGUACCAUCCAUCAACGAACCAAGCGUCGAGCAGUGGGAGGACCGGCAAGCUAGCCCGGGCCCUGACGACCAGGCGAGCCUGGUGGACAGCGCGCGGUGGUCGGCGAGAACCCACGGCGUCCUGGACUGAGGACGCCGCCCACCUAGGGGGAAAGGUAUUAAGCAAUGCAAAGAUGAAAAAGAAGGAGAAGGACCACUGGGGGUGCCGCUUUAUUCUGAUGUGCGCAUCGACACUGCAGUUGGUCCGCGAGAUCUGCUAAGGCGCCGACUCUCACGUUCCCUGGACUGAAACUCGGGAUCCUCGACUUGGCGUCGCAUCUUCUCAGCCGCAGCUUCGGCGUGGUGUUCCGGAUGAGCUUGGCGUCAACGCAUCGCUUCUCGCUUGGCAGUACGGCGCUC